RNAcentral lists this ribosomal RNA (895 nucleotides) under uncultured organism. RNAcentral describes it as "SSU rRNA". It matches the Rfam family "Bacterial small subunit ribosomal RNA", at positions 505 to 1398 of the family's 1533-position model. The record is from RNAcentral.
GUGCCAGCCGCCGCGGUAAUACGUAGGGUGCGAGCGUUGUCCGGAAUUACUGGGCGUAAAGAGCUCGUAGGUGGUUUGUCGCGUUGUUCGUGAAAUCUCACGGCUUAACUGUGAGCGUGCGGGCGAUACGGGCAGACUAGAGUACUGCAGGGGAGACUGGAAUUCCUGGUGUAGCGGUGGAAUGCGCAGAUAUCAGGAGGAACACCGGUGGCGAAGGCGGGUCUCUGGGCAGUAACUGACGCUGAGGAGCGAAAGCUUGGGGAGCGAACAGGAUUAGAUACCCUGGUAGUCCACGCCGUAAACGGUGGGUACUAGGUGUGGGUUUCCUUCCUUGGGAUCCGUGCCGUAGCUAACGCAUUAAGUACCCCGCCUGGGGAGUACGGCCGCAAGGCUAAAACUCAAAGGAAUUGACGGGGGCCCGCACAAGCGGCGGAGCAUGUGGAUUAAUUCGAUGCACGCGAAGAACCUUACCUGGGUUUGACAUGCACAGGACGCGUCUAGAGAUAGGCGUUCCCUUGUGGCCUGUGUGCAGGUGGUGCAUGGCUGUCGUCAGCUCGUGUCGUGAGAUGUUGGGUUAAGUCCCGCAACGAGCGCAACCCUUKUCUCAUGUUGCCAGCGGGUAAUGCCGGGGACUCGUGAGAGACUGCCGGGGUCAACUCGGAGGAAGGUGGGGAUGACGUCAAGUCAUCAUGCCCCUUAUGUCCAGGGCUUCACACAUGCUACAAUGGCCGGUACAAAGGGCUGCGAUGCCGUAAGGUUAAGCGAAUCCUUUUAAAGCCGGUCUCAGUUCGGAUUGGGGCCUGCAACUCGACCCCAUGAAGUCGGAGUCGCUAGUAAUCGCAGAUCAGCAACGCUGCGGUGAAUACGUUCCCGGGCCUUGUACUCACCGCCCGUC